RNAcentral lists this ribosomal RNA (468 nucleotides) under uncultured bacterium. RNAcentral describes it as "partial 16S ribosomal RNA". It matches the Rfam family "Bacterial small subunit ribosomal RNA", at positions 28 to 507 of the family's 1533-position model. The record is from RNAcentral.
GACGAACGCUGGCGGCGUGCUUAACACAUGCAAGUCGAACGGAAAGGCCCUGCUUUUGUGGGGUGCUCGAGUGGCGAACGGGUGAGUAACACGUGAGUAACCUGCCCUUGACUUUGGGAUAACUUCAGGAAACUCGGGCUAAUACCGGAUAGGAGCUCCUGCUGCAUGGUGGGGGUUGGAAAGUUUCGGCGGUUGGGGAUGGUCUCGCGGCUUAUCAGCUUGUUGGUGGGGUAGUGGCUUACCAAGGCUUUGACGGGUAGCCGGCCUUAGAGGGUGACCGGCGACAAGACGACUGAGAGACGGCCCAGACGCCUACGGGAGGCAGCAGUGGGGAAUAUGGCGGAAUGGGCGGAAGCCAGAUGAGGCAACGCCCCGUGCGGGAUGACGGCCUUCGGGUUGUAAACAGCUGUCGCCUGUGACGAAGCGUGCGUGACGGUAAUGGGUAAAGAAGCACCGGCUAACUACGUG